UGUGUUAGUGGAACGGUCUGGAAAGUCCGGCGGUACAGGGUGAUAGCCCCGUACACUAAAAUGCACACGUUGUGAACUCGAAGAGUAGGGCGGGACACGUGGUAUCCUGUCUGAAUAUGGGGGGACCAUCCUCCAAGGCUAAAUACUCCUGACUGACCGAUAGUGAACCAGUACCGUGAGGGAAAGGCGAAAAGAACCCCGGCGAGGGGAGUGAAAAAGAACCUGAAACCGUGUACGUACAAGCAGUGGGAGCCUACUUGUUAGGUGACUGCGUACCUUUUGUAUAAUGGGUCAGCGACUUAUAUUCUGUAGCAAGGUUAACCGUAUAGGGGAGCCGCAGGGAAACCGAGUCUUAACUGGGCGUUAAGUUGCAGGGUAUAGACCCGAAACCCGGUGAUCUAGCCAUGGGCAGGUUGAAGGUUGGGUAACACUAACUGGAGGACCGAACCGACUAAUGUUGAAAAAUUAGCGGAUGACUUGUGGCUGGGGGUGAAAGGCCAAUCAAACCGGGAGAUAGCUGGUUCUCCCCGAAAGCUAUUUAGGUAGCGCCUCGUGAACUCAUCUUCGGGGGUAGAGCACUGUUUCGGCUAGGGGGUCAUCCCGACUUACCAACCCGAUGCAAACUACGAAUACCGAAGAAUGUUAUCACGGGAGACACACGGCGGGUGCUAACGUCCGUCGUGAAGAGGGAAACAACCCAGACCGCCAGCUAAGGUCCCAAAGUCAUGGUUAAGUGGGAAACGAUGUGGGAAGGCACAGACAGCCAGGAUGUUGGCUUAGAAGCAGCCAUCAUUUAAAGAAAGCGUAAUAGCUCACUGGUCGAGUCGGCCUGCGCGGAAGAUGUAACGGGGCUAAACCAUGCACCGAAGCUGCGGCAGCGACACUAUGUGUUGUUGGGUAGGGGAGCGUUCUGUAAGCCGUUGAAGGUGGCCUGUGAGGGUUGCUGGAGGUAUCAGAAGUGCGAAUGCUGACAUAAGUAACGAUAAAGCGGGUGAAAAGCCCGCUCGCCGGAAGACCAAGGGUUCCUGUCCAACGUUAAUCGGGGCAGGGUGAGUCGACCCCUAAGGCGAGGCCGAAAGGCGUAGUCGAUGGGAAACAGGUUAAUAUUCCUGUACUCGGUGUUACUGCGAAGGGGGGACGGAGAAGGCUAUGUUAGCCGGGCGACGGUUGUCCCGGUUUAAGCAUGUAGG
This 1190-nucleotide ribosomal RNA is filed under the name Klebsiella ornithinolytica. Its description in RNAcentral is "Raoultella ornithinolytica 23S ribosomal RNA (partial)". It matches the Rfam family "Bacterial large subunit ribosomal RNA", at positions 325 to 1524 of the family's 2925-position model. The record is from RNAcentral. Lineage: Bacteria; Pseudomonadati; Pseudomonadota; Gammaproteobacteria; Enterobacterales; Enterobacteriaceae.